CACAGAUCAUCCAGGAGGAGAUAAAGCCCUGGUAAACCUCUGGCUGGUUGCAGGUCUUAGUGGAGAGCAGUGGCACCAUGGCUGAGCGCAGAACCACACUGGUCUCUCCUGAAAAAUGCAUGCCAUUUCAAGCAUGUAGGUGUCAGACAGGUGGUGGCUGCUGCAGUUUGGACUGAAACGACCAUUUAGCAGCUUCACAUAAACAACUCCAUUUACCCUAAAAGAUGCAGAUAAAGGUGAAGACUAAUGGAUGGGAGCUGAGGCCUCUGACAUCUGAUACACAUAAUGACUUUGUACUAAGGAGGCCUUAUAAGCAUCUGGGGGCUCAUUUCAAGAGCAAAUGUGGGGUCCUACCCAACCCCAUGAUGAAGCUGGUUGGCACAAAUGCGCACAACAUGACUUUAAUCACAAAUCAUCAAUUUUAGAAAAUAUGUGCAUACAUUAAAUCAUAUUUGUUUAUAGAUGAGACCUUAACCAUAUUCUAAUAUAAAUUAAGCUAGACAAUACAGCAGAAUGAAAAGUGUGCCAACCAACCCUGGUCUCCCCUACACAAGGACGCUGGAGAAGGGCUGGCUGUGGCUCAGGAGGUAGAGCGGGUUGGCCGGUAAUCAGAAGGUCAGCAGUUCAAUCUCUGGUUCCCCCUGGUUGCAUGUCGAAGUGUCCUUGGG
Micropterus dolomieu (smallmouth bass) is the source of this 668-nucleotide long non-coding RNA. RefSeq lists it as uncharacterized. Lineage: Eukaryota; Metazoa; Chordata; Actinopteri; Centrarchiformes; Centrarchidae. The transcript has 3 exons. The record is from RefSeq and is a predicted model, not a curated record.